Molecule: long non-coding RNA, 1093 nt
Organism: Durio zibethinus
Lineage: Eukaryota; Viridiplantae; Streptophyta; Magnoliopsida; Malvales; Malvaceae
Source: RefSeq, a predicted model, not a curated record
UGUGAGCUAAAAUUUGGUGAGAAUUAACGUGAAAUUAUUGAUAAAAUUUUUUGUCGAUAAUUAAUUAUUAGAAAAGAAAUUCUGAAAAAAACUUUAAAAGUGAACGAUUACCGACAAAAUCACCGAUAAUCUAUUGAAAAAUGAAAAAAAAAAAAAUUUAAAACCCAAUUCCUGAAUCAGGAGCCUAUUUGUACCUAAAAUCAAAAUCCAUAAACUCUCUCUCACUCUUCCAUCUUACCCUUUCAACCUUGAAUCUCCUUAUCUCCGACCGCCCCUCUCUCAUCGUACGUUCGGUCAUUAUCAGUUCCGUGCUCCACCGCAGUCCUCUCCCCAACCGUUCUUCAUCAUGGGCGAUCUCCACCAUCGAUUGGGGAAUUUAUGGAAAAGGAUAAGGAGCUUCGAACUAGUUCAUUAAAUAAAAAAAAAAAAGGCCAAAUACUGGGUCAAAAGAGGCUGGUAUACAUGAAGUGCUAUGUAAGCAUGUGAAGAAAAAACCUUUUGCCUAUGGACUUUGUGAAGAAUGUUAUGAAGAGUUUAUGAAAGUUUCAGGUGGACUUGAUGAAGGAUUAGAUCCACCUACAUUCCAGUGUGCUAAAAAAGUGAGAAUAGAAAAAUUAUCUGAGGAAAAUGCUAAUGGGUUUUAGGAGGUGCAACUAACCAGGCAGCCAUCGGUAAGGGUGACAAUGAUAGAUUACCCAGAGUUGAUGUCAGUUAUGAUGAAUCAGAUAAUUUUUGUGAUAUUGAUGAUUUUGAGGUUGAUGGCUAUCUUCACAAUAAGGAGAAGCGAUUCAGAAGAUAAUUUGGGAAGAAAUGAACCGGGAAUACCUUAAGGAACAAGCAGCGAAGGAAGAAGUCGCAGCAGCUGUCAGGAAGUUUGUACGGUCAACUAUGAUAAAUGUCAAGUGGUUUUAGAUUAGGGUGUUUUAUGGAUUUUGUGGAUAUUUUAUGGAUGUUAGGGAUGUUAUGGAUAAUUUAGAUUAUUUUUAAAUUUAUAAUGUGGAUUUGAUAUUUUAAUUAAUAAUAAUUGAAUUUUUAAAUAAUUUUAUGUGUUUAAAUUGUAAUUUACAGGAUGGAUUUUAUUGUCAAAAUUUUA